GCGAAAGCCUGAUCCAGCCAUGCCGCGUGUGUGAAGAAGGUCUUCGGAUUGUAAAGCACUUUAAGUUGGGAGGAAGGGUAGUAACUUAAUACGUUGCUACUUUGACGUUACCGACAGAAUAAGCACCGGCUAACUCUGUGCCAGCAGCCGCGGUAAUACAA
Molecule: ribosomal RNA, 161 nt
Filed under: uncultured Pseudomonas sp.
Lineage: Bacteria; Pseudomonadati; Pseudomonadota; Gammaproteobacteria; Pseudomonadales; Pseudomonadaceae
Description: partial 16S ribosomal RNA
Rfam family: Bacterial small subunit ribosomal RNA
Source: RNAcentral